RNAcentral lists this long non-coding RNA (428 nucleotides) under Gallus gallus (chicken). Lineage: Eukaryota; Metazoa; Chordata; Aves; Galliformes; Phasianidae. The record is from RNAcentral.
GUAAUAAAUGUCUUUAUUAAAGCCUGAGGUGGGGGUGGGUUGGGAGGGGAAGAUAAAGCACGCACCACCAUUUAUUUUGGACACAUCAGUGGUAAAACAACCCCAAAUCACAGCACUCCGGGGUCGGCCGCAGCGCCCCACACCUGCUCUGCUUCUUGCUGCCUAUUUAGGAUUUCCCUGUCGAGAUUUCCCCUCUCCCGUUGGCAAAGAGGGGCGACGUCCCGCUGAGAUGGGGCUUUGCACACCCAUGUUUGUGCACCGGCACUGGGGCUGGUUUGGGAGCGACCCCAUUGGGAAUGGGUUUGGGAGAUCCCGUUGGAAUGGAUUUGGGAGCGAUCCCAUUGGAGACUGGUUUGGAGAAAUCCCAUUGGGAAUAGGUUUGGGAUAUCCCAUUAGGAAUAAGUUUGAGAGAUCCCAUUGGGAAUGGG